CACUGACAUCUACUUCAACAUCAGCACCUGUGCACCUCUUCCAUUUUUCCUUAUGACUGAAGAUUCAGAAGGAAAUAACAAUAUUGUCCAAGGCAAUGUCAUGACAUCAGGUCAGACAUUCUUCUGCUCUCUCAGCCUUGACACACGCCCCAUCAUCUCACUAACUAACAAGGUUCCAUACCUUGUUUUCUGAGAACACAUAGACCACAAGCUUGAUGAUUACUUGCAGUGCAAGGACAGAACUCC
This 246-nucleotide long non-coding RNA is filed under the name Lathyrus oleraceus (garden pea). Its description in RNAcentral is "Pisum sativum (pea) long non-coding RNA (PSAT_LNC016878)". Lineage: Eukaryota; Viridiplantae; Streptophyta; Magnoliopsida; Fabales; Fabaceae. The record is from RNAcentral.